GCACUGCUGAGGAGUCCCAUACUAGCACGAAACGGCCGUCCAGUGC
Schistosoma mattheei is the source of this 46-nucleotide non-coding RNA. Lineage: Eukaryota; Metazoa; Platyhelminthes; Trematoda; Strigeidida; Schistosomatidae. The record is from Rfam.